Molecule: long non-coding RNA, 313 nt
Filed under: Mytilus galloprovincialis (Mediterranean mussel)
Lineage: Eukaryota; Metazoa; Mollusca; Bivalvia; Mytilida; Mytilidae
Source: RNAcentral
GGUUGGUAAAAACUUCCAUCAUCAUGCAUAUAUAUGACACUAACCAAUAGUGAUGGACCGUGACAGACCCUCAUGGAAAGUAAAGGAGGUUUUAACACUCCCUGGUGGUACAUGUAGCCAACAAUAGCAAUGGCAGCAUAGAAACUCUUAUUAUAUCCAAAUUCUUAUUUCAAAUGAAUAAUUAUCCAAGGUGAAUCAGAUGAUGUAUGAUCAUGAUGCUGCACGUUUAGUAUUGACAAUGAUUGAUAUUCACUGAAACUAGAAAUUUCCAUUAUUCCAAUUUUCUAUUCUUAAUGAUAUAACUAUCCAAGAU